Molecule: non-coding RNA, 24 nt
Filed under: Arabidopsis thaliana (thale cress)
Lineage: Eukaryota; Viridiplantae; Streptophyta; Magnoliopsida; Brassicales; Brassicaceae
Source: RNAcentral
ACUAGCAAUUCACUGCUGCGCCAA